Molecule: non-coding RNA, 299 nt
Organism: Phaethon lepturus (White-tailed tropicbird)
Lineage: Eukaryota; Metazoa; Chordata; Aves; Phaethontiformes; Phaethontidae
Rfam family: Metazoan signal recognition particle RNA
About the family: The signal recognition particle (SRP) is a universally conserved ribonucleoprotein. It is involved in the co-translational targeting of proteins to membranes.
Source: Rfam
GCCGGGCACGGUGGCUUGUGCCUGUAAUCCAAGCACCGGGGAGGCUGAGGCUGGCGGACGGCUUGAGCCCGGGGGUUCUGGGCUGCAGCGAGCUGUGCUGAGCGGGCGUCCGCGCUAAGGCCGGCAUCGAUAUGGUGGUCCUCGGGGAGCUGUGGGCCACCAGGUCGCUUAAGGAGGGGUGAACCGGCCCAGGUCGGAGACGGAGCAGGUCAAAGCUCCCGUGCCGGUCAGUAGUGGGAUCACGCCUGUGAACAGUCCCUGUAGCACAGCCUGGGCAAGAGAGCGGGACCCAGCCUCUU